CGCUGGGCAGGGCAUACCGGGCACCGCGGGGCGGGGGCGAGCAUGGUACGCCGGGCACCGGGAUGGGCGCUGGGCAGGGCAUACCGGGCACGGCACGCCGGGGUGGGCGCUGGGAAUGGCAGAACGGGCACCGGGGCACGGCACGCCGGGCACCGGGGUACGACACACGGGGCACCGAGGCGCGGCACACGGGCGCCGGGGCAUGGCAUACCGGGCAACGGGGCGAGCACUGGGCAUGGCAGAUCAGGUACUGGGCACUGGGAUGGGCACUGGGCAUGGCAUACCCGGCACUGGGCUGCUCCACACGGUGCGGUGAGUCCUGGGUGCCAGCAGCAAGAACCGUAUGGCAGCUUCUGGGCAGCACGGGCUGAGUGUUAUGGAGCAGGCAUGGGAGGGUGGCAGCGGUGCUGGGUACAGGGAACCCUCCCGGGCACCACCUGCCAGGUGCUGGUACUGGGCACUGGUGCUGGGUGCAGGGUAGUCCAUUGGACAGUAUCCACCAGCUGCUGGCAGUGGGCAGGAUGAGGACGCUGGGUCAGGGCUCAGGUCUGGAUUUGGAGCUGGGGCUGCUUCUGGGCUUUGAUCCACAUUUGGAUUAGGGCUGGACCAUGUAUGGGUCUGCACUUAGGUGUGGGUCUGUAUUUAGAUGAGUAUUUGGAUCUGGAUUCUGAUCCACAUCUGGAUUUGCAUUUGGAGCUGGAUUUGGAUCCACAUCUGGACUUGCAUUCGGAGCUGGAUUUAGGUAUCUGGUGUAAGCCCUUGCUGUUGGGAGGUUGCAGCUGAUUACCCGUGUGCAUCUCACACGUGCCAGUGGCCACCAGACCUGCUUUGCACCAAGAGAGGUGGCACCUGGGACCCCUCUGUGCGUGUGUCCCCGGUGCUGACACCCGGCUUUGGCCACGGCGACGUGUGCAGAUAUUUUAAGAGGAAGAUUCUGUGCUCUCGCAGCUUGACUGCUAAUUUAUAAUCCUGUUUUCCUAUUAAAAUAAAAGCCUCUCUCUUAUUCCCGAACGUGAGAGCCAAAGCGGAGCUCUGA
This is a long non-coding RNA of Pipra filicauda (Wire-tailed manakin), 1036 nucleotides long. RefSeq lists it as uncharacterized. The transcript has 2 exons. Lineage: Eukaryota; Metazoa; Chordata; Aves; Passeriformes; Pipridae. The record is from RefSeq and is a predicted model, not a curated record.